UUGCGUCUGGGGUGCUCGUCAGGUCCUCGCAGUCAUUGAGCCUACAAGCAUCGGACGGGAUUCCGUCGUCGGGCGCCGCCCGGCAGGCCCCCUUCCGAUCAUCUGACGAUGAGCCUUCGGGUUCGCCAAACAGAUGCGGGGGGUGAGGGAAGCCCAGUGUGGCAUUCGCGGGAAUCCCACCUGGACAUCGCGGUUCAAUACUCGAUUUCCUACGGCACCCUGGACUUUUU
This 230-nucleotide non-coding RNA is filed under the name Candidatus Lindowbacteria bacterium RIFCSPLOWO2_02_FULL_62_12. RNAcentral's name for it is "6S RNA". It matches the Rfam family "6S / SsrS RNA". Rfam says of the family: E. coli 6S RNA was the first non coding RNA to be sequenced, but its function was unknown until recently. Lineage: Bacteria; Candidatus Lindowiibacteriota. The record is from RNAcentral. RNAcentral also lists the same sequence under 1 other name.